CAGGCUCUUCGGAGAAAUAACACAAGGCAUUUGGUUCUGUCACGUCCAGGUAAAAAUGUGAUUGACUGCAAGUGGGUGUUUAGGAUAAAAAGAAAGUCUGAUGGGACAAUAGAUCGAUAUAAAUCUAGGCUUGUUGCUAAAGGUUUCAAACAGCGAUAUGGCAUUAAUUAUGAGGAUACUUUUAGUCCAGUUGUCAAGGCUGCCACUAUCCGUCUUGUGUUGUCUAUUGCUGUAUCAAGAGGAUGGAGUCUCAGACAACUAGAUGUGCAGAACACGUUUCUUCAUGGUGUUCUAGAAGAGGAAGUAUAUAUGAAGCAACCUCCUGGGUUUGAAGAUAAAAGUAAACCAUCUUAUGUUUGCAGACUUGACAGGUCUCUCUAUUGA
Molecule: ribosomal RNA, 384 nt
Filed under: Triticum aestivum (bread wheat)
Lineage: Eukaryota; Viridiplantae; Streptophyta; Magnoliopsida; Poales; Poaceae
Description: partial small subunit ribosomal RNA
Source: RNAcentral